UACAGGUGGUGCAUGGCUGUAGUCAGCUCGUGUCGUGAGAUGUUGGGUUAAGUCCCGCAACGAGCGCAACCCUUGUUUUUAGUUGCCAUCAUUUAGUUGGGCACUCUAGAAAGACUGCCGGUGACAAACCGGAGGAAGGUAAGGAUGACGUCAAGUCAGCAUGCCCCUUACGCUCUGGGCUACACACGUGCUACAAUGGCCGUGACAAAGAGUUGCCAACUUGUAAAAGUGAGCCAAUCUCAUAAACGCGGCCUCAGUUCGGAUUGCAGGCUGAAACUCGCCUGCAUGAAGGUGGAAUCGCUAGUAAUCGCCGGUCAGCUACACGGCGGUGAAUCCGUUCCCGGGCCUUGUACACACCGCCCGUCACACCACGGAAGCUGGCCACGCCCGAAGUCGUUACUCUAACCUUCUCGGAGGAGGAUGCCUAAGGCAGGGCUAGUGACUGGGGUGAAGUCGUAACAAGGUAGCCGUACUGGAAGGUGCGGCUGGAUCACCUCCUUU
Molecule: ribosomal RNA, 501 nt
Filed under: Titanophycus setchellii
Lineage: Eukaryota; Rhodophyta; Florideophyceae; Nemaliales; Liagoraceae
Description: SSU rRNA
Rfam family: Bacterial small subunit ribosomal RNA
Source: RNAcentral